This 29-nucleotide small RNA is filed under the name Bombyx mori (domestic silkworm). RNAcentral's name for it is "ovarian small RNA-17359". Lineage: Eukaryota; Metazoa; Arthropoda; Insecta; Lepidoptera; Bombycidae. The record is from RNAcentral.
GGCAACAGUCGUAGCCAGAAUAAGGAAGC